ACUAGCAGUAAGAGUUUGAUCAUGGCUCAGAACGAACGCUGGCGGCAUGCCUAACACAUGCAAGUCGAACGAGACCUUCGGGUCUAGUGGCGCACGGGUGCGUAACGCUGGGAAUCUGCCCUUGGGUUCGGGAUAACAGUUGGAAACGACUGCUAAUACCGGAUGAUGACUUCGGUCCAAAGAUUUAUCGCCCAGGGAUGAGCCCGCGUAGGAUUAGCUUGUUGGUGAGGUAAAGGCUCACCAAGGCGACGAUCCUUAGCUGGUCUGAGAGGAUGAUCAGCCACACUGGGACUGAGACACGGCCCAGACUCCUACGGGAGGCAGCAGUGGGGAAUUUUGGACAAUGGGGGCAACCCUGAUCCAGCCAUUCCGCGUGAGUGAAGAAGGCCUUCGGGUUGUAAAGCUCUUUUGUCCGGAACGAAACGGUGGACGUGAAUAUCGUCCAUUACUGACGGUACCGGAAGAAUAAGCACCGGCUAACUACGUGCCAGCCGCCGCGGUAAUAC
RNAcentral lists this ribosomal RNA (506 nucleotides) under uncultured bacterium. RNAcentral describes it as "bacterial SSU rRNA". It matches the Rfam family "Bacterial small subunit ribosomal RNA", at positions 1 to 526 of the family's 1533-position model. The record is from RNAcentral.